Molecule: unclassified non-coding RNA, 173 nt
Filed under: soil metagenome
Description: partial internal transcribed spacer 1
Source: RNAcentral
CAAGAAGCCGAAAGGCUACUUAAAACCAUCGCGAACUUAUCCAAGUUGCUUCGGCGGCGCGGCUCCCCUCACGGGGGACCGCAGCCCCCGCCUCUCAGGAGGUAAGAGGCAGCCGCCGGAGGUACGAAACUCUGUAUUAUAGUGGUAUCUCUGAGUAUAAAACAAAUAAGUUA